Molecule: ribosomal RNA, 433 nt
Filed under: uncultured bacterium
Lineage: Bacteria
Description: partial 16S ribosomal RNA
Rfam family: Bacterial small subunit ribosomal RNA
Source: RNAcentral
AGCGAACGCUGGCGGCAGGCCUAACACAUGCAAGUCGAACGGAUCCUUCGGGAUUAGUGGCGGACGGGUGAGUCACCCGUGGGAACGUGCCCUUUGGUUCGGAACAACUCAGGGAAACUUGAGCUAAUACCGGAUGUGCCCUUCGGGGGAAAGAUUUAUCGCCAUUGGAGCGGCCCGCGUCUGAUUAGCUAGUUGGUGAGGUAACGGCCAACCAAGGCGACGAUCAGUAGCUGGUCUGAGAGGAUGAUCAGCCACACUGGGACUGAGACACGGCCCAGACUCCUACGGGAGGCAGCAGUGGGGAAUCGUGCACAAUGGGCGAAAGCCUGACGCAGCCAUGCCGCGUGAAUGAUGAAGGUCUUAGGAUUGUAAAAUUCUUUCAGCGGGGACGAUAAUGACGGUACCCGAAGAAGAAGCUCCGGCUAACUUCGUG